UAUGGUACCAGCAGCCGCGGUAAAACGUAGGUCACAAGCGUUGUCCGGAAUUACUGGGUGUAAAGGGAGCGCAGGCGGGAAGACAAGUUGGAAGUGAAAUCUAUGGGCUCAACCCAUAAACUGCUUUCAAAACUGUUUUUCUUGAGUAGUGCAGAGGUAGGCGGAAUUCCCGGUGUAGCGGUGGAAUGCGUAGAUAUCGGGAGGAACACCAGUGGCGAAGGCGGCCUACUGGGCACCAACUGACGCUGAGGCUCGAAAGUGUGGGUAGCAAACAGG
Molecule: ribosomal RNA, 276 nt
Filed under: Faecalibacterium prausnitzii
Lineage: Bacteria; Bacillati; Bacillota; Clostridia; Eubacteriales; Oscillospiraceae
Description: partial 16S ribosomal RNA
Rfam family: Bacterial small subunit ribosomal RNA
Source: RNAcentral